UACGUAGGGGGCAAGCGUUGUCCGGAUUUAUUGGGCGUAAAGCGCGUGUAGGCGGCCAGGUAGGUCCGCUGUGAAAACCCGAGGCUCAACCUCGGGACGUCGGCGGAAACCAUUUGGCUAGAGUCCGGAAGAGGAGAGUGGAAUUCCCGGUGUAGCGGUGAAAUGCGCAGAUAUCGGGAAGAACACCCGUGGCGAAGGCAGCUCGCUGGGACGUUACUGACGCUGAGACGCGAAAGCGUGGGGAGCAAACAGG
This 253-nucleotide ribosomal RNA is filed under the name uncultured bacterium. RNAcentral describes it as "partial 16S ribosomal RNA". It matches the Rfam family "Bacterial small subunit ribosomal RNA", at positions 524 to 776 of the family's 1533-position model. The record is from RNAcentral.